AACGAACGCUGGCGGCAGUGCCUACACAUGCAGUCGAGCGCGCCUUCGGGUGAGCGGCGGACGGGUUAGUAACGCGUGGGAACGUGCCCUUUUCUACGGAAUAGCCUCUGGAAACGGAGAGUAAUACCCGUAUACGCCCUUUGGGGGAACAGAUUUAUCGGAGAAGAGAUCGGCCCGCGUUCAGCAUUAAGUAGAUUGGAUGGGGUAACGGCACUAACAAAGCCUACGAUCUAUAGCUGGUUUUAGAGGAUGAUCAGCCAACACUGGGACUGAGACACGGCCCAGACUCCUACGGGAGGCAGCAGUGGGGAAUCUUAGACAAUCGGGGGCAACCCUGAUCUAGCCAUGCCGCGUGAGUGAUGAAAGGCCUUAGGGUCGUAAAGCUCUUUCGCCUGUGAUGAUAAUGACAGUAGCAGGUAAAGAAACCCCGGCUAACUCCGAUGACCAGACAGCCGCGGUAAUACGGAGGGGGUUAGCGUUGUUCGGAAUUACUGGGCGUAAAGCGCGCGUAGGCGGAUUAGAAAGUUGGGGGUGAAAUCCCGGGGCU
RNAcentral lists this ribosomal RNA (547 nucleotides) under uncultured Paracoccaceae bacterium. Its description in RNAcentral is "bacterial SSU rRNA". It matches the Rfam family "Bacterial small subunit ribosomal RNA", at positions 28 to 609 of the family's 1533-position model. The record is from RNAcentral. Lineage: Bacteria; Pseudomonadati; Pseudomonadota; Alphaproteobacteria; Rhodobacterales; Paracoccaceae.